This 253-nucleotide ribosomal RNA is filed under the name uncultured bacterium. RNAcentral describes it as "partial 16S ribosomal RNA". It matches the Rfam family "Bacterial small subunit ribosomal RNA", at positions 524 to 776 of the family's 1533-position model. The record is from RNAcentral.
UACGUAGGGUGCGAGCGUUGUCCGGAAUUAUUGGGCGUAAAGGGUGCGUAGGCGGUUUUGUAAGUCUUGUGUGAAAUCUUCAGGCUCAACUUGAAGACUGCACGAGAAACUGCAGGGCUUGAGUGUGGGAGAGGUGAGUGGAAUUCCUGGUGUAGCGGUGAAAUGCGUAGAUAUCAGGAGGAACACCUGUGGCGAAAGCGGCUCACUGGACCACAACUGACGCUGAUGCACGAAAGCUAGGGGAGCAAACAGG